Long non-coding RNA from Coregonus clupeaformis (lake whitefish), 516 nucleotides. RefSeq lists it as uncharacterized. Lineage: Eukaryota; Metazoa; Chordata; Actinopteri; Salmoniformes; Salmonidae. The transcript is spliced from 3 exons. The record is from RefSeq and is a predicted model, not a curated record.
CCUGAUUACAACAACCUUCAAGCGCGCCACUGCACCGAGGAAGAACACACAGACACAGCAAUGGAUUGUGCUUCACAUACCAACAGCCAAAAUGCCUGCAAUAAAGAAAAACCUGUUGCCAAAUGUCCUACAAAAUCAGGCCAAGACAUAUCAUGCCAAGACAUAUCAGGCCAAUCCAUAUCAGGCCAAACCAUAUCAGGCGCUGUGAGCGGCAAUAUUUCCUUUGGCAACCAGACCAAUAACCCCAGUCAUACCGGUUAACAAAAAACUCCCAGAAAAACUGUCGCACCCAGCAUCACCAUAGCCAACAUAACAGGUGGCAGAGUGGGUCUCUACUACAAGGCAGAGAAGAUGGCUCUCUGUGACCUCAUCAAGGGGAGUCAACUCAAGGGCGAAUCCAUCCUUAUCCUGGAAGACACCUUUAAGAAGACCCCUCUUCCUCAGAACCUCGAUUUCACUGGCUUCCAAGUAGAAAGUGACAAUACACACAGAUUAAACUACAUACAAAUUAUUGAU